AUACUGCUUGGACAUGUUCAUUACUGCAUAUACAAACUUCCUAUGUUCUCCUAUUUAAUCACUGUUGGCAGCAAGAAACAGCUUCCAUUAGGUGACAAUUUAGAGCUCAUACGCUUCUUGGUUAGACAAGCGGAAUUGUAACCUUCAGAGCAACGAACUUCACAAGAGGCUUGAAAGUAAGACUAACAAACUAAAUAAUUCUUCAGUUUGGACAGAAACUGUUACAAGUUAACUCUAAAAAGACACUUGUUUGUACAUUUUCAGGGGGGUUGUUCUGUUUCCUUUUCUGGUGGGUUUUUUUGGGGGGUUGGUGUGGUUGGGGUGGGUUUUUAUUGCGUUUUGUUUGUUUGUUUGUUUUGUUUUUUACCUUCAGCCUUCUCUGUGUUUCUAUAUAAAAUGGGAUAAAAUACAAUAAAAACAAUCCAGUAAAGACUUCAUAUAUAUUCAAUAAGGCUUGUAAUUCUGGGAUGUUUUGUUUGUUCAUAUUCAUCAAAUUUUGAAAUAUUUGCCUUAUUUGUGUAUGAAUAAAAGUUCAGAAUUGAAAGGUGCAGAAGACACAACAGGAAGAUACACCAGGAGCAGGAGAUACUCAGCACCUUCCAGGAUUUCAUGUCUAACAUAAUUGUUGUUGAUUACAGCAUAUAAAAACAAACCUGUUGUUGGUUUUCCCAAAGCAAUUAAUUAUUAUCAGCAUUCUCAAGAAAUCACUCAUGGUAACACUAGCAAUCAAAUACAGUGCAGAACAAAUCAAUUCACAAAAUUCCCUUCCAUCCAUAAGUGGAGCUAAUUGCUAGGGAAUUACAAGUUUAACUUAUGUAAAUCAAAAGUCUCUGAGUGUAACUGUGUGGCCUAUAGAGGUUCCUAAUGCAUGGCUCUGCCUUCCCUACAGAGGCAGGUAACUCCCUCUCCAAUUUGUCUGUUUAUCCACACCCCCUGCACCUUUUCAGCAUCAGUCAAUAUGGAUGAAGGUCCACACUGAUGCUGUCAAAACUACCCCUUCUCAUUUUUUAUUAAGGUGGAUCACCAGCUCUACUGCAAAAUUGCACACUAACAAUUAAUUUAUUUCACUGCUCUGUUUCUGACACUGUCCAGGAAGAAACUAUUUGGGAGAAGAUGAAUAUAGUAGCUGACAAUGAUAGUUUUUUGUUGUUAUCUUGUGACUUAAGGCCUGAUCUCUGACUACCAGAAAAGAGCACAAGUAUUACAAC
RNAcentral lists this long non-coding RNA (1208 nucleotides) under Strigops habroptila (Kakapo). Its description in RNAcentral is "lncRNA (ENSSHBG00005017303.1)". Lineage: Eukaryota; Metazoa; Chordata; Aves; Psittaciformes; Psittacidae. The record is from RNAcentral.